RNAcentral lists this microRNA precursor (135 nucleotides) under Gossypium arboreum. Its description in RNAcentral is "MIR7502 microRNA precursor family". It matches the Rfam family "MIR7502 microRNA precursor family". Lineage: Eukaryota; Viridiplantae; Streptophyta; Magnoliopsida; Malvales; Malvaceae. The record is from Rfam by way of RNAcentral.
UCUUUAAAUUUCAUCCAUUUUUACUGUUAAAAAUUGGUCUAGCUGACAGAAUAACCAAACAGUUACCAUGGUGGGUACCUCAUUCUAACAUACAUGAACAAGAUUUUAACAAUAUAAUUGAAUGAAUUUUUAACA